CAGAAUAUAGCUAAAUCUAUAGCUCUUCCCUUACACUGAAAAGUUCCCCGCGCAACUCGGGUUAUUCUGA
Molecule: transfer RNA, 70 nt
Filed under: Anablepsoides ophiomimus
Lineage: Eukaryota; Metazoa; Chordata; Actinopteri; Cyprinodontiformes; Rivulidae
Description: tRNA-Val
Source: RNAcentral